Molecule: ribosomal RNA, 541 nt
Filed under: Muricopsis cristata
Lineage: Eukaryota; Metazoa; Mollusca; Gastropoda; Neogastropoda; Muricidae
Description: partial 12S ribosomal RNA
Rfam family: Bacterial small subunit ribosomal RNA
Source: RNAcentral
AACCAAAAGGCCAAGUUAUAUUUUAAUGGUAAAAAGACAGUUAAAUAGUUUAUAAAGUCUAUUAAAUAUUUAUAAAGGAGUAAAAUCUAUAUAUAAAUAUAUAAUUCGAUAUUGGCUUAGGUAUUGAAGCUGUGAAAGCCUUGAGGGAAACUGGGAUUAGAUACCCCAUUAUUCUUGGCCGUAAAUCAAUGAAAAUUUACCGGGGUACUACGAACUGUAAAAGUUUAAAACUCAAAGAGCUUGGCGGUAUUUUAGACCUCUCAGGGGAACCUGUCUCGUAAUCGAUGAUCCACGUUACACCUAACCUUUUUUUGCUCUCAGCUUGUAUACCGUCGUCGUAAGGUAACUUCUAAGAACCUAGAAGUUAGCAAAAAAAUUGUAAAUUUUGAUGUCAGAUCAAGGUGCCAGUCUAUGAAAAGGUGAGGAUGGGUUACAAUUGCAAAGUUGCAACUACGGAAUAAUUGUAAGAAUUAACAAUUAUGAAGGAGGACUUGAAAGUAAAUUAAAUUAUAUAAAUAUCUUGAACAAGGCUCUGAAAUGU